Long non-coding RNA from Passer domesticus (house sparrow), 463 nucleotides. RefSeq lists it as uncharacterized. The record is from RefSeq and is a predicted model, not a curated record. Lineage: Eukaryota; Metazoa; Chordata; Aves; Passeriformes; Passeridae. The transcript has 3 exons.
CAGAUGUGUCUGCAGGGACGACUUCACCAACUCCUACCUUGGAUGAUGCACAAAAGCCCAGCUCCCAUCACAGGAGUCCUACGAUAGGAGAGACCAAAGACAUGGCAGGCAAGAAAUUCCAGGACCCGUUAGAAAUCAUGUGGCAAAUGCUGAAGGAACGUCUGCAGAGAAAGCAAGGGCUGUUUCCCAGCCUGGCCUGGCUGCAGCUUCUGCCCAGCCUCUGCAGGAAGGAAUUUGGCAUCAGCUGAUAGGCAGCCCUAAUUGCACCAUACUCCAUGCCCACCCUCAGAUCCUCUGCAAUUUCCUGGUGUCCAGGCAGAUCAGAUGUUGGAGCUGUUUGAUGAAGGAAGCAGCCUUGGGUUGUCCCAAAAUCCUGGGUGUUUUCUGAUCCUUAUCCAUUCCUUUCACAAGUGAUGCCUCCUGAAAUUGUCCCCUACCCCAUUCCCAGUGAGGAAUGUUUCCA